This 529-nucleotide ribosomal RNA is filed under the name Meyerozyma caribbica. RNAcentral's name for it is "partial large subunit ribosomal RNA". It matches the Rfam family "Eukaryotic large subunit ribosomal RNA", at positions 113 to 658 of the family's 3401-position model. Lineage: Eukaryota; Fungi; Ascomycota; Pichiomycetes; Serinales; Debaryomycetaceae. The record is from RNAcentral.
AUUUGAAAUCUGGCACCUUCGGUGUCCGAGUUGUAAUUUGAAGAUUGUAACCUUGGGGUUGGCUCUUGUCUAUGUUUCUUGGAACAGGACGUCACAGAGGGUGAGAAUCCCGUGCGAUGAGAUGCCCAAUCCUAUGUAAGGUGCUUUCGAAGAGUCGAGUUGUUUGGGAAUGCAGCUCUAAGUGGGUGGUAAAUUCCAUCUAAAGCUAAAUAUUGGCGAGAGACCGAUAGCGAACAAGUACAGUGAUGGAAAGAUGAAAAGAACUUUGAAAAGAGAGUGAAAAAGUACGUGAAAUUGUUGAAAGGGAAGGGUUUGAGAUCAGACUCGAUAUUUUGUGAGCCUUGCCUUCGUGGCGGGGUGACCCGCAGCUUAUCGGGCCAGCAUCGGUUUGGGCGGUAGGAUAAUGGCGUAGGAAUGUGACUUUGCUUCGGUGAAGUGUUAUAGCCUGCGUUGAUGCUGCCUGCCUAGACCGAGGACUGCGAUUUUAUCAAGGAUGCUGGCAUAAUGAUCCCAAACCGCCCGUCUUGAA